Molecule: non-coding RNA, 27 nt
Filed under: Rattus norvegicus (Norway rat)
Lineage: Eukaryota; Metazoa; Chordata; Mammalia; Rodentia; Muridae
Source: RNAcentral
UCCAUGUGGAGAAGAUGGUCUUGGUGU